UAAAGCAGGGAAUAAAAAGCUACUUGGCCUC
This 31-nucleotide non-coding RNA is filed under the name Mus musculus (house mouse). Lineage: Eukaryota; Metazoa; Chordata; Mammalia; Rodentia; Muridae. The record is from RNAcentral.